Molecule: ribosomal RNA, 404 nt
Filed under: uncultured bacterium
Lineage: Bacteria
Description: bacterial SSU rRNA
Rfam family: Bacterial small subunit ribosomal RNA
Source: RNAcentral
AACGAACGUUGGCGGCGUGCCUAACACAUGCAGGUCGUGCGAGAAAGUUCCUUCGGGAGCGAGUAAAGCGGCGCACGGGUGAGUAACACGUAGGUAACCUGCCCCCCAGUCUGGAACAACUAGAGGAAACUCUAGCUAAUGCCGGAUGAGACCACGAUCCCUUCGGGGGUUGCGGCCAAAGAUGGCCUCUACUUGUAAGCUAUCGCUGAGGGAUGGGCCUGCGGGCCAUUAGCUUGUUGGUGAGGUAACGGCUCACCAAGGCUGUGAUGGCUAGCUGGUCUGAGAGGAUGACCAGCCACACUGGGACUGAGACACGGCCCAGACUCCUACGGGAGCAGCAGUGGGGAAUAUUGCGCAAUGGGCGAAAGCCUGACGCAGCGACGCCGCGUGGGUGAUGAAGGCCU